RNAcentral lists this ribosomal RNA (182 nucleotides) under uncultured bacterium. RNAcentral's name for it is "partial 16S ribosomal RNA". It matches the Rfam family "Bacterial small subunit ribosomal RNA", at positions 1319 to 1500 of the family's 1533-position model. The record is from RNAcentral.
CAUGAAGCUGGAAUCGCUAGUAAUCGCGGAUCAGAAUGCCGCGGUGAAUACGUUCCCGGGUCUUGUACACACCGCCCGUCACACCAUGGGAGUCGGAAAUGCCCGAAGUCUGUGACCCAACCUACGGGAGGGAGCAGCCGAAGGCAGGUCGGAUGACUGGGGUGAAGUCGUAACAAGGUAAC